This 482-nucleotide ribosomal RNA is filed under the name uncultured bacterium. RNAcentral describes it as "bacterial SSU rRNA". It matches the Rfam family "Bacterial small subunit ribosomal RNA", at positions 30 to 506 of the family's 1533-position model. The record is from RNAcentral.
UUGAACGCUGGCGGCAUGCCUUACACAUGCAAGUCGAACGGCAGCACGGGAGCAAUCCUGGUGGCGAGUGGCGAACGGGUGAGUAAUGUAUCGGAACGUACCUUUCAGUGGGGGAUAACGUAGCGAAAGUUACGCUAAUACCGCAUAUUCUGUGAGCAGGAAAGCAGGGGAUCGCAAGACCUUGCGCUGAUUGAGCGGCCGAUAUCAGAUUAGCUAGUUGGUGAGGUAAAGGCUCACCAAGGCGACGAUCUGUAGCGGGUCUGAGAGGAUGAUCCGCCACACUGGAACUGAGACACGGUCCAGACUCCUACGGGAGGCAGCAGUGGGGAAUUUUGGACAAUGGGGGCAACCCUGAUCCAGCCAUGCCGCGUGAGUGAAGAAGGCCUUCGGGUUGUAAAGCUCUUUCAGCCGGGAAGAAAUCACAUGGGUUAAUACCCUGUGUGGAUGACGGUACCGGAAUAAGAAGCACCGGCUAACUACGU